Neofelis nebulosa (Clouded leopard) is the source of this 331-nucleotide long non-coding RNA. RefSeq lists it as uncharacterized. The transcript has 2 exons. The record is from RefSeq and is a predicted model, not a curated record. Lineage: Eukaryota; Metazoa; Chordata; Mammalia; Carnivora; Felidae.
UGGCGUCUAGGCCUGACGCUUUAAUGGCUUUCUUGUUUAAUUUGACAGAGGUAGCACCAGCUCUCUGCAGGUGGAAGUAACGGGACAGAUGAAGAAAAGGCGAACGUUCAGCGUCAAGUGGCUUCCAGUUCUGCAGAGCACCCUUUCAUCAUGCUGAAAUGCGACUGGCCUCCUGUGUCUUCUCUCCCCAGGCAUUGCUCUUACUUCACCUGGUUCUUGUCUGUCCCAUUUUGUUCAGUCAUUUCUAGGCUCCUUUGAAAUUUCAUGCCCCCCCCCUUUUUUUUUAAUCAAGAUUGCCUAAUAAAAAAUAAUGGUAAGAUUUCAAGCCUGA